This 253-nucleotide unclassified non-coding RNA is filed under the name Hevea brasiliensis (rubber tree). Lineage: Eukaryota; Viridiplantae; Streptophyta; Magnoliopsida; Malpighiales; Euphorbiaceae. The record is from RNAcentral.
AUCAGAUUGCGGCAUAUAGUCAGAAAUGUAUCGUGCAUCUCUGGUGAGGCAACGAUACAUACAAAAACAACAUAGACAGAAAGUUUUGCGUAAAAUCUUUAGAGUUAAAUGUUUUUUGCUGUAACGUUGCAGAUUCUCGUCUGGUAAUGUGUUUGUUCUGUAGUUUCCCUUAAAUGGGAUUUUCCUUUUUUUCAUUUGGAUGUAAGGGAGGUUGUUGAUUUAGUGUGAUACAUUUUAGGGAUACCCAUCUAGG